GACGAACGCUGGCGGCGUGCCUAAUACAUGCAAGUCGAGCGAAGAAGCGUGGUACUUGUACUUACUGGGUUAGCAGCGAACGGGUGAGUAACGCGUGGGGAAUCUGCCUUUGAGCGGGGGACAACAUUUGGAAACGGAUGCUAAUACCGCAUAAAAACUUUAAACACAUGUUUUAAGUUUGAAAGAUGCACUUGCUUCCAUUAAAGAAUAUACCGCGUUUUAUUUGGUUGUUGGUUAGGUAAAGGCCCACCAAAGCGAAGGUGCCUAACCGAACUGAGGAGGGGGUCGGGCAAAAUGGGACUUGGACACGGGCCAAGCUCCUAAGGGGGGCAACAGUAAGGGAUCUUCGGCCAUGGACGGAAGGCUGACCGGACAACGCCGGCGUAGUGGAGAAGGUUUUCGGGUCGUAAAACUCUGUUGGUAGGGAAGAACGUUGGGUAGAGUGGAAAGCUCAUCAAGUGACGGUAACUACCCAGAAAGGCACGGCUAACUACGUG
RNAcentral lists this ribosomal RNA (497 nucleotides) under uncultured bacterium. RNAcentral describes it as "partial 16S ribosomal RNA". It matches the Rfam family "Bacterial small subunit ribosomal RNA", at positions 28 to 507 of the family's 1533-position model. The record is from RNAcentral.